Molecule: small nuclear RNA, 155 nt
Organism: Cryptomeria japonica (Japanese cedar)
Lineage: Eukaryota; Viridiplantae; Streptophyta; Pinopsida; Cupressales; Cupressaceae
Product: U4 spliceosomal RNA
Exons: 1
Source: RefSeq, a predicted model, not a curated record
AUCUUUGCGCUUGGGGCAAUGACGCAGCUACAGAGGUUAUAACCGAGGCGCGUCAAUUACUGGUUGAAAACCAUUUCCAAACCCCCUAUUUGGCCUUCUUCCAUGGGAGGGCUAUCUUUGAGAUGGGCCACACAAAUCAAAAAAUAAAAUGAUAU